AUACCAGAAACUGAGUGCAUUUUUGAGGCAAAGUUAUUUUAUACACAUCUGUUUAAAUGGAGCAGCAGCAGAGUUUUGAGUGCACUGAAUGUGAAAGUAACCCUUAUGAAAAUGGCUGUCAGAAUGAUUCUGAGGAACCAGAAAGGGGGGGGUGAAGCUGCAUUUUUUUCACACGCUGGAGGACGUGGAUGAAGCAGAGAAACCCAAACCUCGACACACACGAUCUGUCAAGUUCUCUGACAUAAAUAGAACAAAAAGCACAAGAUUUUGUGAAUUCAAACUGAAGGUUUUUGGUUCUUAACGUGUGACUACAGACACGGAUAAACACACAGAUGAUGACCUGAGUGCAGGAGCUCUUCAAACCUUAUGCGUUAUUUCUUAUCUGUGGUUACACUGACAGGCGAGCAAUCAAGCGUCACUUUCUCCACAUUCAAAUACACCACUCAGCACUUUCACAUAAUGAUCCGAUUACUUAUCACUGAUCUUUAACAUGGACUCACAUCAAAUACUUGGAGGAGGCUGGAAGAUUUACAGUGGAGAUGAAAAUUUUCCAGCAAUUAGCAGGAUGUGGAGUGUACUGCUGUUUAUACCAGAGAUGGUUACCUUGACAUGGCUGUUUGACCGCUGAGCAACUGCAUUAAAGGCAACAUUAAGCACAAUUAAGGCUAGCGUGCGUGGCCAUGCAUUAGUGGUUAGAAUGUGCGGUUGUGCCUUUAUCAGUUAGC
This is a long non-coding RNA of Thalassophryne amazonica, 725 nucleotides long. RefSeq lists it as uncharacterized. NCBI's taxonomy places the organism in Eukaryota, Metazoa, Chordata, Actinopteri, Batrachoidiformes, Batrachoididae. The record is from RefSeq and is a predicted model, not a curated record. The transcript is spliced from 3 exons.